RNAcentral lists this ribosomal RNA (301 nucleotides) under uncultured bacterium. RNAcentral describes it as "partial 16S ribosomal RNA". It matches the Rfam family "Bacterial small subunit ribosomal RNA", at positions 512 to 808 of the family's 1533-position model. The record is from RNAcentral.
CAGCCGCCCGGUAAUACAGAGGGUGCGAGCGUUAAUCGGAUUUACUGGGCGUAAAGCGUGCGUAGGCGGCUUUUUAAGUCGGAUGUGAAAUCCCUGAGCUUAACUUAGGAAUUGCAUUCGAUACUGGGAAGCUAGAGUAUGGGAGAGGAUGGUAGAAUUCCAGGUGUAGCGGUGAAAUGCGUAGAGAUCUGGAGGAAUACCGAUGGCGAAGGCAGCCAUCUGGCCUAAUACUGACGCUGAGGUACGAAAGCAUGGGGAGCAAACAGGAUUAGAUACCCGUGUAGUCCCUGUCUCUUAUACA